GGGCGCCUAGCUCAGUGGUAGAGCGCUUCCUUCACACGGAAGAGGUCGCUGGUCCGAUCCCAGCGGCGCCCA
Molecule: transfer RNA, 72 nt
Filed under: Deltaproteobacteria bacterium
Lineage: Bacteria; Pseudomonadati; Myxococcota; Myxococcia
Description: tRNA-Val
Rfam family: tRNA
About the family: Transfer RNA (tRNA) molecules are approximately 80 nucleotides in length. Their secondary structure includes four short double-helical elements and three loops (D, anti-codon, and T loops). Further hydrogen bonds mediate the characteristic L-shaped molecular structure. tRNAs have two regions of fundamental functional importance: the anti-codon, which is responsible for specific mRNA codon recognition, and the 3' end, to which the tRNAs corresponding amino acid is attached (by aminoacyl-tRNA synthetases). tRNAs cope with the degeneracy of the genetic code in two manners: having more than one tRNA (with a specific anti-codon) for a particular amino acid; and 'wobble' base-pairing, i.e. permitting non-standard base-pairing at the 3rd anti-codon position.
Source: RNAcentral